GCACAACCUCAAAAGUGGUGAGCCUUUUCUCAUUCACGGAACGCAAGCUCCCUCUCCAUUCUUACCUGCAACUCCAUUCCUCCCAGGGGUCUAGCCUGAAAAUCACAAAGCCGAGGCCGGUAUCCGCUCAGGUGUCCAUCCUUCAUCCAACAACAUCUCUCUCAGCUCUCCCACACCACUCCUGCUACCACCAUGCGCCAGCACCACAUGAGCCCCUCUCUUCUCUAUCACUUAUGUGCCUCACCACCACACGACCUCAUCGAGAACCAGACCUGCAACCCAAUUGCAGCCCCUUCUCUCCCUCCCACCAAAACCCCCACCGCACACCCUGCCGCCACCCCUUCCUUCUGUCAUGAGUACCCGCAAACACCCUUCUUCCCCUUCACCUGCAAGGCCCCCAUCUAAAACCCAACCCUCUCCCUCGUCGACGCGAGCCUCUCACCUCGCUAGGCUUCAAUGGUUUCAUUGAUGGUUUCAAAACAAUUAUUAAUUGAAGUUUUUUUAGUGCAUCAUUUAUGUCAAAACAAUUUAAGAAUUUAGUUUUUCUAUGAUGUAGAAUCUGACCUAGGUUAUCACCUUUUCUUUUUCAAAUCCUGCAAUUUUAAUUUAGUUUUUCUAUGAUGUAGAAUCUGACCUAGGUUAUCACUUUUUCUUUUUCAAAUCCUGCAAUUUUCUAUGUUCGAAGAAAUUUACUCAUGUGUUUAGAAUGGUCCUGAGUCUACUGACGUUAUUUUUUCAUUUUCUGUUGGUUAUUUUUUCAUGCCCUUUCUGUAACAUGCUCUGUUAUUCCAUCAUAAGAAUGAAACAGUGCAGUGAAUGGAAAGAUGCUAAUGAAAAAGUGAUGCCUUGAGGAUCAAAGAUGCAUGCAGAGUCACUUGGUCUCGGCCGAACUGGAAUGGUUUGUUGCAUUGGACAACAAAUUGGUGGACUGGUGAGUCAGCUUCUAGGCUUUGAUUCAUUACAACAUGCAUUAUUAUUAAAAGGAGGAAGCCCAGACCAGCCCAGCCCAGCCCGAUUGAUCUGAGAGUUUACAAGUUGUUGUACUAUGGUUGUUGCCACUGUUGACCAAAUUUGAAGAGGAUGGAGAAAAACUACUGUUAUUAAAGAGGUGCUGCUAGAGUGUAUUUGAAGACGGAUAGUAGUGAAGAAGCUACUGCCACUGAUUUGUUGUUGUGAUCUCUUAAUCAUAUCUUCUAUUGUUGUCCUUACUUAGGUUAAAUUUGACCAUAAUGGUAUGUAUGUGAUUAAUGAUUUUAUUGUUCAUAAGUAAAUUUAUAUAAAGUGUUUGCCAAACAUUGUUUCUA
This is a long non-coding RNA of Macadamia integrifolia, 1304 nucleotides long. RefSeq lists it as uncharacterized. Lineage: Eukaryota; Viridiplantae; Streptophyta; Magnoliopsida; Proteales; Proteaceae. The record is from RefSeq and is a predicted model, not a curated record. The transcript has 2 exons.